Molecule: long non-coding RNA, 548 nt
Organism: Centruroides sculpturatus (bark scorpion)
Lineage: Eukaryota; Metazoa; Arthropoda; Arachnida; Scorpiones; Buthidae
Exons: 3
Source: RefSeq, a predicted model, not a curated record
CUGUAGAAACAAAGAAAAAGCUACUAAAAAAUAUUAUUUUUUAAUAAUUUAUAAAUUUUAACAAUGAAAAUCCUGUAGAAUAUAGUUAUUGUUUAGUCUUCUAAAUAAAAAUAAAAACCAGUGUGAGAUUAAGUGAUGAAGAUGACAAAGUACUGUAAAAGUGCAUGCAUGAUUGGAAACUUUCUUUUUACAAGAGCCUUUGGAAAGAAUGCACUAAAAAGUGUUGUUGAUGUUUUAAGAAAAGUUUUAAUUACACAAACUUUUAUUUAUCUUAAAAAAACAAAAAAGUAACAACAAUAGAAUGAAAAGAAAAGAAAAAAUGAACAACCAUGCAUGCACCCAUCUUAAGAAAUUAUGUUUAAACAUUACAAAAGUCUACUACUAUGAAGUGCAAAUUAGAAGUUGACUGAGGAGGGACAUUACAAUUCUGAAAUGCGUAUUCACUGAAAUUUAAUAAAUAAUGAUAAACUGCCUAGUGUCUGAUUGAUCGCACUUCAUUGUGCUAAAGAAAUAAAGAAAAAGAAAAGACACGGUUUCAAAUUUACUAA